GACGAACGCUGGCGGCGUGCUUAACACAUGCAAGUCGAACGGAAAGGCCCUGCUUUUGUGGGGUGCUCGAGUGGCGAAAGGGUGAGUAACACGUGAGUCACCUGCCCUUGACUUUGGGAUAACUUCAGGAAACUGGGGCUAAUACCGGAUAGGAGUUCCUGCUGCAUGGUGGGGGUUGGAAAGUUUCGGCGGCUGGGGAUGGACUCGCGGCUUAUCAGCUUGUUGGUGGGGUAGUGGCUUACCAAGGAUUUGACGGGUAGCCGGCCUGAGAGGGUGACCCGCCACAUGAGGACUGAGCUACGGCCACGACUCCUACGGGAGGCAGCAGUGGGGAAGAUUGCACAAUGGGCGGAGGCCUUAUGCAGCAACGCCGCGUGCGGGAUGACGGCCUUCGGGUUGUAAACCGCUUGCGCCUGUGACGAAGCGUGGGUGACGGUAAUGUGUAAAGAGGCACCGGCUAACUACGUG
This 468-nucleotide ribosomal RNA is filed under the name uncultured bacterium. RNAcentral's name for it is "partial 16S ribosomal RNA". It matches the Rfam family "Bacterial small subunit ribosomal RNA", at positions 28 to 507 of the family's 1533-position model. The record is from RNAcentral.